RNAcentral lists this ribosomal RNA (800 nucleotides) under uncultured bacterium. RNAcentral's name for it is "bacterial SSU rRNA". It matches the Rfam family "Bacterial small subunit ribosomal RNA", at positions 8 to 812 of the family's 1533-position model. The record is from RNAcentral.
AGAGUUUGAUCAUGGCUCAGGAUAAACGCUGGCGGCGCACAUAAGACAUGCAAGUCGAACGGACUUAGGCUCAUUCAUUACGAUUGAGAACGGUUAGUGGCGGACUGGUGAGUAACGCGUGAGCAACCUACCUAUAAGAGGGGAACAACAGUUAGAAAUGACUGCUAAUACCGCAUAAGCUCACAGCAACACAAGUUGCAGUGAGAAAAGGAGCAAUCCGCUUAUAGAUGGGCUCGCGUCUGAUUAGAUAGUUGGUGGGGUAAAGGCCUACCAAGUCGACGAUCAGUAGCCGGACUGAGAGGUUGAACGGCCACAUUGGGACUGAGAUACGGCCCAGACUCCUACGGGAGGCAGCAGUCGGGAAUAUUGCGCAAUGGAGGGAACUCUGACGCAGUGACGCCGCGUAUAGGAAGAAGUUUUUCGGAAUGUAAACUAUUGUCGUUAGGGAAGAGAAAGGACGGUACCUAAGGAGGAAGCCCCGGCUAACUAUGUGCCAGCAGCCGCGGUAAUACAUAGGGGGCGAGCGUUAUCCGGAAUUAUUGGGUGUAAAGGGUGCGUAGACGGGGAUGUAAGUUAGUUGUGAAAGCCCUAGGCUUAACUUAGGAAUUGCAACUAAAACUAUGUUUCUUGAGUGCUGGAGAGGAAAGUGGAAUUCCUAGUGUAGCGGUGAAAUGCGUAGAUAUUAGGAGGAACACCGGUGGCGAAGGCGACUUUUCUGGACAGUAACUGACGUUGAGGCACGAAAGUGUGGGGAGCAAACAGGAUUAGAUACCCUGGUAGUCCACACCGUAAAACGAUGG